This 710-nucleotide ribosomal RNA is filed under the name uncultured Vagococcus sp. RNAcentral's name for it is "bacterial SSU rRNA". It matches the Rfam family "Bacterial small subunit ribosomal RNA", at positions 801 to 1516 of the family's 1533-position model. The record is from RNAcentral. Lineage: Bacteria; Bacillati; Bacillota; Bacilli; Lactobacillales; Enterococcaceae.
CGUAAACGAUGAGUGCUAAGUGUUAGGGGUUUCCCCCUUAGUGCUGCAGCUAACGCAUUAAGCACUCCGCUCGGGGAGUACGACCGCAAGGUUGAAACUCAAAGGAAUUGACGGGGGCCCGCACAGCGGUGGAGCAUGUGGUUUAAUUCGAAGCAACGCGAAGAACCUUACCAGGUCUUGACAUCCUUUGACCACUCUAGAGAUAGAGCUUUCCCUUCGGGGACAAAGUGACAGGUGGUGCAUGGUGUCGUCAGCUCGUGUCGUGAGAUGUUGGGUUAAGUCCCGCAACGAGCGCAACCCUUAUUGUUAGUUGCCAUCAUUAAGUUGGGCACUCUAGCGAGACUGCCGGUGACAAACCGGAGGAAGGUGGGGAUGACGUCAAAUCAUCAUGCCCCUUAUGACCUGGGCUACACACGUGCUACAAUGGACAGUACAAUGAGCAGCGACACGGCGACGUGAAGCGAAUCUCAUAAAGCUGUUCUCAGUUCGGAUUGUAGGCUGCAACUCGCCUACAUGAAGCCGGAAUCGCUAGUAAUCGCGGAUCAGCACGCCGCGGUGAAUACGUUCCCGGGCCUUGUACACACCGCCCGUCACACCACGAAAGUUUGUAACACCCGAAGUCGGUGAGGUAACCGCAAGGAGCCAACCGCCUAAGGUGGGAUAGAUGAUUGGGGUGAAGUCGUAACAAGGUAACCAAGGGCGAAUUCCAG